Long non-coding RNA from Myodes glareolus (Bank vole), 519 nucleotides. RefSeq lists it as uncharacterized. NCBI's taxonomy places the organism in Eukaryota, Metazoa, Chordata, Mammalia, Rodentia, Cricetidae. The record is from RefSeq and is a predicted model, not a curated record.
GAAAACACGUCAUGAGUGAAAAUGACAAGGCCAAGGCUGAGGGUUCGGUAAAACAACGGAGCCCAUGGGAGGAUGCCCAGGUUGACCUGCGGUUACAGGCUUCAUGGCAUCAGAAAGCAACAUUUUUCAGAACUCCAUUUUCUCCUUCCACUUUUUCCUUGGUCCUGGGCAUGGCUCUCAAGUCAUCAGAUUUAGAAAGCAAGAACUUUUACUUGCUGAACCUCCUUUGUGAAUUUGAAAUGGACGUAGGAGUCAGAUUGAAUCCAGCUGGGUGACAAGCACUGCCUAGAGAAAACGACUUAUCCAAAGACUGUUCCCUUGGUCUGAGGUGGAAGAUGAAGACGCGGAUUGAGGGGGAGCAAUCAAGGAGGGGUCCUGUUGUCCCUGGGAAGCAGGAAGAUGGUCAAGGCUUUAUGUCACAGCUGCCUUCUUUUCACCUUCUCUUAGUUAAACAACAUUUUCCCAUUACUCUGUUUUUUUUUUCUGAAUAAAUUCCAUAAGAUGUAGUCAUAUAUUUUA